AGAUGGCGACCGGCGCACGGGUGAGUAACACGUAUCCAACCUGCCGAUAACUCGGGGAUAGCCUUUCGAAAGAAAGAUUAAUACCCGAUGGCAUAAUAGAACCGCAUGGUUUGAUUAUUAAAGAAUUUCGGUUAUCGAUGGGGAUGCGUUCCAUUAGGCAGUUGGUGGGGUAACGGCCCACCAAACCUUCGAUGGAUAGGGGUCUGAGAGGAAGGUCCCCCACAUUGGAACUGAGACACGGUCCAA
Molecule: ribosomal RNA, 246 nt
Filed under: uncultured bacterium
Lineage: Bacteria
Description: partial 16S ribosomal RNA
Rfam family: Bacterial small subunit ribosomal RNA
Source: RNAcentral